Long non-coding RNA from Gymnogyps californianus (California condor), 577 nucleotides. RefSeq lists it as uncharacterized. The record is from RefSeq and is a predicted model, not a curated record. The transcript is spliced from 3 exons. Lineage: Eukaryota; Metazoa; Chordata; Aves; Accipitriformes; Cathartidae.
CACACACCGAGGCCAUGCUGCCAGCCACCAGCAUCGGCCCUUCCCCUCCUCAGUGUGUCUACCCACACAAGCCAGAGCUGACUUCACCUUCAUUUCUUACCAGCGAACCCCCAAUGACGAAAGCAGGCAUGAACUGUGGGCUUGUCGUCCACUUGGUCUGCUUCCAUGGGUAGAGCCCACGGUCCAGCUAGGGGAUCCAGGAACGAGACCUUGCUGACGCUUCACCUCUCUCCCCGUCGCACCGUUUCCCCCCACUCGCCAGAGGAAGCCCCAGCACGGAGGUGGAGGCCCAGCCACUAGCCCUGCUUGGGAAGGAAGCAGGAGGGAGACGGCCGGGAGGUUGGCGAGAGUCGGCAGCAACGUUACCUGCUUCCCGGCUGGGGUGGGACACUUCUGCCGGCAAGGAAGAGGAGCUCUGCUCUUCCACUUCUCGGAGUAGUGUUUCAUGGUUGGGAGGUACCAAAUAACUCCCGUAAAAUGCUGUCCCAGGUAUGCUCUGCUUCACACUGCUGAUGGGACAGGAACUUUGGUAUUUCUGCAAAAUCCUUACUGUCUUGUCCAAAACAAUAAAAUAAAC